UGACAAUCUGGUAGGGGGCCUGCGUUUCGGCCGCGGGUGUGGAAGCGGUUGUUUUCUGUCAA
Molecule: transfer RNA, 62 nt
Filed under: Brachycladium goliath
Lineage: Eukaryota; Metazoa; Platyhelminthes; Trematoda; Plagiorchiida; Brachycladiidae
Description: tRNA-Arg
Source: RNAcentral